RNAcentral lists this ribosomal RNA (989 nucleotides) under human oral metagenome. RNAcentral's name for it is "bacterial LSU rRNA". It matches the Rfam family "Bacterial large subunit ribosomal RNA", at positions 1942 to 2925 of the family's 2925-position model. The record is from RNAcentral.
AUAACGGUCCUAAGGUAGCGAAAUUCCUUGUCGGGUAAGUUCCGACCCGCACGAAUGGCGUAACGAUGGCCACACUGUCUCCUCCUGAGACUCAGCGAAGUUGAAGUGGUUGUGAAGAUGCAAUCUACCCGCUGCUAGACGGAAAGACCCCGUGAACCUUUACUGUAGCUUUGCAUUGGACUUUGAAGUCACUUGUGUAGGAUAGGUGGGAGGCUUUGAAGCAGAGACGCCAGUCUCUGUGGAGCCGUCCUUGAAAUACCACCCUGGUGUCUUUGAGGUUCUAACCCAGACCCGUAAUCCGGGUCGGGGACCGUGCAUGGUAGGCAGUUUGACUGGGGCGGUCUCCUCCCAAAGAGUAACGGAGGAGUUCGAAGGUUACCUAGGUCCGGUCGGAAAUCGGACUGAUAGUGCAAUGGCAAAAGGUAGCUUAACUGCGAGACCGACAAGUCGAGCAGGUGCGAAAGCAGGACAUAGUGAUCCGGUGGUUCUGUAUGGAAGGGCCAUCGCUCAACGGAUAAAAGGUACUCCGGGGAUAACAGGCUGAUACCGCCCAAGAGUUCAUAUCGACGGCGGUGUUUGGCACCUCGAUGUCGGCUCAUCACAUCCUGGGGCUGUAGUCGGUCCCAAGGGUAUGGCUGUUCGCCAUUUAAAGUGGUACGUGAGCUGGGUUUAAAACGUCGUGAGACAGUUUGGUCCCUAUCUGCAGUGGGCGUUGGAAGUUUGACGGGGGCUGCUCCUAGUACGAGAGGACCGGAGUGGACGAACCUCUGGUGUACCGGUUGUAACGCCAGUUGCAUAGCCGGGUAGCUAAGUUCGGAAGAGAUAAGCGCUGAAAGCAUCUAAGCGCGAAACUCGCCUGAAGAUGAGACUUCCCUUGUGGUUUAACCACACUAAAGAGUCGUUCGAGACCAGGACGUUGAUAGGUGGGGUGUGGAAGCGCGGUAACGCGUGAAGCUAACCCAUACUAAUUGCUCGUGAGGCUUGACUCU